This 930-nucleotide ribosomal RNA is filed under the name uncultured cyanobacterium. Its description in RNAcentral is "bacterial SSU rRNA". It matches the Rfam family "Bacterial small subunit ribosomal RNA", at positions 606 to 1533 of the family's 1533-position model. Lineage: Bacteria; Bacillati; Cyanobacteriota. The record is from RNAcentral.
AGCUUAACUCCAUAGGAGCGUGGAAACUGCAAGACUAGAGUACAGUAGGGUAGCAGGGAAUUCCCAGUGUAGCGGUGAAAUGCGUAGAUAUGGGGAAGAACAUCGGUGGCGAAAGCGUGCUACUGGGCUGAAACUGACACUGAGGAACGAAAGCUAGGGUAGCGAAAGGGAUUAGAUACCCCUGUAGUCCUAGCCGUAAACGAUGGAUACUAGGCGUGGCUUGUAUCGACCCGAGCCGUGCCGAAGCUAACGCGUUAAGUAUCCCGCCUGGGGAGUACGCACGCAAGUGUGAAACUCAAAGGAAUUGACGGGGGCCCGCACAAGCGGUGGAGUAUGUGGUUUAAUUCGAUGCAACGCGAAGAACCUUACCAAGGCUUGACAUCCCUGGAAUCCUGCGGAAACGUGGGAGUGCCUUAGGGAGCCAGGAGACAGGUGGUGCAUGGCUGUCGUCAGCUCGUGUCGUGAGAUGUUGGGUUAAGUCCCGCAACGAGCGCAACCCUCGUUUUUAGUUGCCAUCAUUAAGUUGGGCACUCUAGAGAGACUGCCGGUGACAAACCGGAGGAAGGUGGGGAUGACGUCAAGUCAUCAUGCCCCUUACGCCUUGGGCUACACACGUACUACAAUGGUCGGGACAACGGGCAGCGAGCUCGCGAGAGUAAGCGAAUCCCAUCAAACCCGGCCUCAGUUCAGAUUGCAGGCUGCAACUCGCCUGCAUGAAGGAGGAAUCGCUAGUAAUCGCAGGUCAGAAUACUGCGGUGAAUUCGUUCCCGGGCCUUGUACACACCGCCCGUCACACCAUGGGAGCUGGUCACGCCCGAAGUCGUUACUCUAACCUUAGGGAGGAGGGCGCCGAAGGCAGGGCUAGUGACUGGGGUGAAGUCGUAACAAGGUAGCCGUACCGGAAGGUGUGGCUGGAUCACCUCCUUAAAG